AUUGAACGCUGGCGGAAUGCUUUACACAUGCAAGUCGAACGGCAGCACGGACUUCGGUCUGGUGGCGAGUGGCGAACGGGUGAGUAAUGUAUCGGAACGUGCCCAGUCGUGGGGGAUAACGUAGUGAAAAUUACGCUAAUACCGCAUACGAUCUAUGGAUGAAAGCGGGGGAUCGCAAGACCUCGCGCGAUUGGAGCGGCCGAUAUCAGAUUAGGUAGUUGGUGGGGUAAAGGCCCACCAAGCCAACGAUCUGUAGCUGGGCUGAGAGGACGACCAGCCACACUGGAACUGAGACACGGUGCAGACUCCUACGGGAGGCAGCAGUGGGGAAUUUUGGACAAUGGGCGAAAGCCUGAUCCAGCCAUUCCGCGUGCAGGAUGAAGGCCCUCGGGUUGUAAACUGCUUUUGUACAGAACGAAAAGGUUUCUACUAAUACUAGGAGCUCAUGACGGUACUGUAAGAAUAAGCACCGGCUAACUCUGUGCCAGCCGCCGCAGUAA
RNAcentral lists this ribosomal RNA (500 nucleotides) under uncultured bacterium. Its description in RNAcentral is "partial 16S ribosomal RNA". It matches the Rfam family "Bacterial small subunit ribosomal RNA", at positions 30 to 523 of the family's 1533-position model. The record is from RNAcentral.